This 77-nucleotide transfer RNA is filed under the name Acidobacteriota bacterium. RNAcentral's name for it is "tRNA-Pro". It matches the Rfam family "tRNA". From Rfam's summary of the family: Transfer RNA (tRNA) molecules are approximately 80 nucleotides in length. Their secondary structure includes four short double-helical elements and three loops (D, anti-codon, and T loops). The record is from RNAcentral. RNAcentral also lists the same sequence under 1 other name. Lineage: Bacteria; Pseudomonadati; Acidobacteriota.
CGGGGCGUAGCGCAGCCUGGUAGCGCGCUUCCUUGGGGUGGAAGAGGUCGAGUGUUCAAAUCACUUCGCUCCGACCA